AGUCGAACGGCAGCACGGGUGCUUGCACCUGGUGGCGAGUGGCGGACGGGUGAGUAAUGCAUCGGAACGUGCCGUAUAGUGGGGGAUAACGCAUCGAAAGGUGUGCUAAUACCGCAUACGCCCUGAGGGGGAAAGUGGGGGACCGAAAGGCCUCACGCUAUACGAGCGGCCGAUGUCCGAUUAGCUAGUUGGUGGGGUAAAGGCUCACCAAGGCGACGAUCGGUAGCUGGUCUGAGAGGACGACCAGCCACACUGGGACUGAGACACGGCCCAGACUCCUACGGGAGGCAGCAGUGGGGAAUUUUGGACAAUGGGGGCAACCCUGAUCCAGCCAUUCCGCGUGAGUGAAGAAGGCCUUCGGGUUGUAAAGCUCUUUUGUCAGGGAGGAAAUCCUUAGCGUUAAUACCGUUGGGGGAUGACAGUACCUGAAGAAUAAGGACCGGCUAACUACGUGCCAGCAGCCGCGGUAAUACGUAGGGUCCAAGCGUUAAUCGGAAUUACUGGGCGUAAAGCGUGCGCAGGCGGCUGAUUAAGCCAGAUGUGAAAUCCCCGGGCUCAACCUGGGAACUGCGUUUGGAACUGGUCAGCUAGAGUACGUCAGAGGGGGGUAGAAUUCCACGUGUAGCAGUGAAAUGCGUAGAGAUGUGGAGGAAUACCGAUGGCGAAGGCAGCCCCCUGG
Molecule: ribosomal RNA, 679 nt
Filed under: uncultured Leeia sp.
Lineage: Bacteria; Pseudomonadati; Pseudomonadota; Betaproteobacteria; Neisseriales; Leeiaceae
Description: bacterial SSU rRNA
Rfam family: Bacterial small subunit ribosomal RNA
Source: RNAcentral